RNAcentral lists this small nuclear RNA (157 nucleotides) under Penaeus japonicus. RNAcentral describes it as "U1 spliceosomal RNA". It matches the Rfam family "U1 spliceosomal RNA". Rfam says of the family: U1 is a small nuclear RNA (snRNA) component of the spliceosome (involved in pre-mRNA splicing). Its 5' end forms complementary base pairs with the 5' splice junction, thus defining the 5' donor site of an intron. Lineage: Eukaryota; Metazoa; Arthropoda; Malacostraca; Decapoda; Penaeidae. The record is from RNAcentral.
ACACUACCUGGCACAGGAGAUACUGUGAUCACGAAGGCGGUUCUCCCAGGGCGAGGCUCACCAUUGCACUCCGGUGGCGCUGACCCCUGCGAUUAACCCAACAGUUAACUCGAGUGUGCAAUUUUUGGUAGUGGGGACUGCGUUCGCGCUAUCCCCU